RNAcentral lists this unclassified non-coding RNA (887 nucleotides) under Synechococcus sp. CCY0454. RNAcentral's name for it is "16S-23S ribosomal RNA intergenic spacer". The stretch from base 263 to 336 matches the Rfam family "tRNA". Lineage: Bacteria; Bacillati; Cyanobacteriota; Cyanophyceae; Synechococcales; Synechococcaceae. The record is from RNAcentral.
AGGGAGACAAAACUGAUCGUGAUGUCUGAAUACUUUAUUUUCAGGCCAUGAUCCUGUCACUCUAGGUCGAUCGGUACCUCAACUGUGGAAGCGGAAUGGAGACAUGUCUGCCCAAACAGGUUCAGUUCCUAAACUUUGUCUAGGUCACACCCCAACGAUUUUUGUUGAGGACAUGUUAAAACCUGAAAGAUGAAACGGUGGCGAUACUGAAUCAUCAAUCAGGUCAGACACAACUUUGACACGAUCGCGAGGUCGAACUCCUGGGCCAUUAGCUCAGGUGGUUAGAGCGCACCCCUGAUAAGGGUGAGGUCCCUGGUUCAAGUCCAGGAUGGCCCAUUCGUGUUUGGGGGUUUAGCUCAGUUGGUAGAGCGCCUGCUUUGNNNNNNNNAUGUCAGCGGUUCGAGUCCGCUAACCUCCAUUCCAAACUGAGGAGCGCCCUCACGGAACCAAAGGAGAGAUUUCUUUGGUGUGAUCUUGACGUCUUGGUGACGAUUCCAGCCUACUUUCAUUCCCUGAGUGGUUGAAAGCAUGCUGGAUUCCUUGUCCGCAAGGAUAGGCGUUCAGCAAGAACCUUGACAACUGCAUAGGAAAAGUCUGGAAAAGAAAGCAUCUCAUAGAUGCUGACUUUCCAGUUCUCUCUGUUCGCGGCCUCGGCUGCGGCAUUUUGGCGACAGCCAAAAGGAGAUUCAGGUGCAAGCCUGAAUCUGUGAGAAGGACAGGGAAGCCAGUGAUUCUUGAGUCAGAGCCGAGUACAGCUCGUGUCUUCUGCCUGGCAUGGCCACAAGCCGCCAGUCAGGAGUUUGAUUCUGAUUGUCCAGGAUCUCUUGAUUGAGAGCUUAGACACCGGAAGAAUAGCCUUCAACAAGCUAAACGCGAGUUGUGAUUAU